AGAGUUUGAUCAUGGCUCAGAACGAACGCUGGCGGAAGGCUUAACACAUGCAAGUCGAGCGCACUCUUCGGAGUGAGCGGCAGACGGGUGAGUAACGCGUGGGAACGUGCCCUUUGGUUCGGAAUAGCCCUUGGAAACGAGGAGUAAUGCCGAAUGUGCCCUUCGGGGGAAAGAUUUAUCGCCAAAGGAUCGGCCCGCGUUAGAUUAGCUAGUUGGUGAGGUAACGGCUCACCAAGGCGACGAUCUAUAGCUGGUCUGAGAGGAUGAUCAGCCACACUGGGACUGAGACACGGCCCAGACUCCUACGGGAGGCAGCAGUGGGGAAUCUUGGACAAUGGGCGCAAGCCUGAUCCAGCCAUUCCGCGUGGAUGAUGAAGGCCCUAGGGUUGUAAAAUCCUUUCGGCAGGGAAGAUAAUGACGGUACCUGCUAAAGAAGCCCCGGCUAACUCCGUGCCAGCAGCCGCGGUAAUACGGAGGGGGCUAGCGUUGUUCGGAAUUACUGGGCGUAAAGCGCGCGUAGGCGGAUCGAUCAGUCAGAGGUGAAAUCCCGGAGCUCAACUUCGGAACUGCCUUUGAUACUGUCGAUCUGGAGUCCGGGAGAG
This 602-nucleotide ribosomal RNA is filed under the name uncultured Alphaproteobacteria bacterium. Its description in RNAcentral is "bacterial SSU rRNA". It matches the Rfam family "Bacterial small subunit ribosomal RNA", at positions 8 to 656 of the family's 1533-position model. The record is from RNAcentral. Lineage: Bacteria; Pseudomonadati; Pseudomonadota; Alphaproteobacteria.